This 315-nucleotide long non-coding RNA is filed under the name Brassica napus (rape). Its description in RNAcentral is "long non-coding RNA (BNAP_LNC014372)". The record is from RNAcentral. Lineage: Eukaryota; Viridiplantae; Streptophyta; Magnoliopsida; Brassicales; Brassicaceae.
GAGUGAAGAGAUGCGACAAGGGAAUGUGAAAUUACAAAGUCGAACACUUUGUGUCUUGGGGUAGUAAUCGUUAGGUUUCGUGUUCAACGAAGCAAAGUGUCAAGUGCGUGUGAGAGAGAGAAGCAUCUUUUGGGAAAGUGGUGUGGUCGUCUCAAUUGAACAUAAAAAAAACAUCAAUCUUCAAGACCGAUCCAAUUCUCUUUGUUCCCUGUCUCUCUGGGCCUGUUGAUGUUGUUUAAAUCUUUAUAUUCAUCAUUCUCUUUCCGGUUAUACGUAUUUUUGUCCGUUCAUCUUUGUCGGCACACGUCCUCCAAC